UACGUAGGGUGCGAGCGUUGUCCGGAAUUAUUGGGCGUAAAGAGCUCGUAGGCGGUUUGUCGCGUCGGCCGUGAAAACUUGGGGCUUAACCCCAAGCUUGCGGUCGAUACGGGCAGACUUGAGUUCGGCAGGGGAGACUGGAAUUCCUGGUGUAGCGGUGAAAUGCGCAGAUAUCAGGAGGAACACCGGUGGCGAAGGCGGGUCUCUGGGCCGACACUGACGCUGAGGAGCGAAAGCGUGGGGAGCGAACAGGAUUAGAAACCCCCGUAGU
Molecule: ribosomal RNA, 271 nt
Filed under: uncultured bacterium
Lineage: Bacteria
Description: partial 16S ribosomal RNA
Rfam family: Bacterial small subunit ribosomal RNA
Source: RNAcentral